GCGUACACGGUGGAUGCCCUGGCAGUCAGAGGCGAUGAAGGACGUGCUAAUCUGCGAUAAGCGCCGGUAAGGUGAUAUGAACCGUUAUAACCGGCGAUUUCCGAAUGGGGAAACCCAGUGUGAUUCGUCACACUAUCAUUAACUGAAUCCAUAGGUUAAUGAGGCGAACCGGGGGAACUGAAACAUCUAAGUACCCCGAGGAAAAGAAAUCAACCGAGAUUCCCCCAGUAGCGGCGAGCGAACGGGGAGGAGCCCAGAGCCUGAAUCAGCAUGUGUGUUAGUGGAAGCGUCUGGAAAGGCGCGCGAUACAGGGUGACAGCCCCGUACACAAAAGCGCAUGUGCUGUGAGCUCGAUGAGUAGGGCGGGACACGUGGUAUCCUGUCUGAAUAUGGGGGGACCAUCCUCCAAGGCUAAAUACUCCUGACUGACCGAUAGUGAACCAGUACCGUGAGGGAAAGGCGAAAAGAACCCCGGCGAGGGGAGUGAAAAAGAACCUGAAACCGUGUACGUACAAGCAGUGGGAGCAC
This 528-nucleotide ribosomal RNA is filed under the name Salmonella enterica subsp. enterica serovar Montevideo. RNAcentral's name for it is "partial 23S ribosomal RNA". It matches the Rfam family "Bacterial large subunit ribosomal RNA", at positions 15 to 582 of the family's 2925-position model. Lineage: Bacteria; Pseudomonadati; Pseudomonadota; Gammaproteobacteria; Enterobacterales; Enterobacteriaceae. The record is from RNAcentral.